Molecule: ribosomal RNA, 798 nt
Filed under: uncultured Arcobacter sp.
Lineage: Bacteria; Pseudomonadati; Campylobacterota; Epsilonproteobacteria; Campylobacterales; Arcobacteraceae
Description: bacterial SSU rRNA
Rfam family: Bacterial small subunit ribosomal RNA
Source: RNAcentral
UGAUGUGCAGCAGCGCGCAAGUCGUACAGGUAGCAAGUCGUACAAGUAGCACUGUGCAGCAGACGCGGGAUGUGCAGCAGACGCGGGAUGUGCCAGCAGGCCGCGGCACAAGUCGUAACAAGGUAACCACUGUGCCAGCAGGCCGCGGUAAUACGGAGGGUGCAAGCGUUACUCGGAAUCACUGGGCGUAAAGAGCGUGUAGGCGGGUAUAUAAGUCAGAAGUGAAAUCCAAUAGCUUAACUAUUGAACUGCUUCUGAAACUGUAUACCUAGAAUGUGGGAGAGGUAGAUGGAAUUUCUGGUGUAGGGGUAAAAUCCGUAGAGAUCAGAAGGAAUACCGAUUGCGAAGGCGAUCUACUGGAACAUUAUUGACGCUGAGACGCGAAAGCGUGGGGAGCAAACAGGAUUAGAUACCCUGGUAGUCCACGCCCUAAACGAUGUACACUAGUUGUUGUGAGGCUCGACCUUGCAGUAAUGCAGUUAACACAUUAAGUGUACCGCCUGGGGAGUACGGUCGCAAGAUUAAAACUCAAAGGAAUAGACGGGGACCCGCACAAGCGGUGGAGCAUGUGGUUUAAUUCGACGAUACACGAAGAACCUUACCUGGACUUGACAUAGUAAGAACUUUCUAGAGAUAGAUUGGUGUCUGCUUGCAGAAACUUAUAUACAGGUGCUGCACGGCUGUCGUCAGCUCGUGUCGUGAGAUGUUGGGUUAAGUCCCGCAACGAGCGCAACCCUCGUCAUUAGUUGCUAACAGUUCGGCUGAGAACUCUAAUGAGACUGCCUACGCAAGUAGGAG